AAUAUAAUAUGGAUCACUUUAGUGCAAUACCCACCAAUCAUUCUCACACGAGAUAUUAGCGCACCAGUCAUCAUAUCCAUAUUCUACCCUCCCACUCCGUUAAGGUAUUAGGCGCGAAAUGGUAUCAUUACUUAUUGCAUGCUAUUACCCGUCUCAAUCCUAUCAGUCCCAAAGGAGUUUAGGACUACUAUUCACUAGGUGAGGGAGGAUUUUAGACUGACUUUUAGAUUUAAAGGUAAAAGGACUAAAGCGACAUACAAAACACAUAGGACUGCAUAUUAG
This 282-nucleotide long non-coding RNA is filed under the name Nicotiana benthamiana. RNAcentral's name for it is "long non-coding RNA (NBEN_LNC035539)". The record is from RNAcentral. Lineage: Eukaryota; Viridiplantae; Streptophyta; Magnoliopsida; Solanales; Solanaceae.